This 495-nucleotide ribosomal RNA is filed under the name uncultured bacterium. RNAcentral's name for it is "partial 16S ribosomal RNA". It matches the Rfam family "Bacterial small subunit ribosomal RNA", at positions 28 to 507 of the family's 1533-position model. The record is from RNAcentral.
GACGAACGCUGGCGGCGUGCCUAAUACAUGCAAGUAGAACGCUGAAGGAGGAGCUUGCUUCUCUGGAUGAGUUGCGAACGGGUGAGUAACGCGUAGGUAACCUGCCUGGUAGCGGGGGAUAACUAUUGGAAACGAUAGCUAAUACCGCAUAAGAGUAGAUGUUGCAUGACAUUUGCUUAAAAGGUGCAAUUGCAUCACUACCAGAUGGACCUGCGUUGUAUUAGCUAGUUGGUGGGGUAACGGCUCACCAAGGCGACGAUACAUAGCCGACCUGAGAGGGUGAUCGGCCACACUGGGAAUGAGACACGGCCCAGACUCCUACGGGAGGCAGCAGUAGGGAAUCUUCGGCAAUGGACGGAAGUCUGACCGAGCAACGCCGCGUGAGUGAAGAAGGUUUUCGGAUCGUAAAGCCCUGUUGUAAGAGAAGAACGAGUGUGAGAGUGGAAAGUUCACACUGUGACGGUAUCUUACCAGAAAGGGACGGCUAACUACGUG